Molecule: ribosomal RNA, 877 nt
Filed under: Bacillus velezensis
Lineage: Bacteria; Bacillati; Bacillota; Bacilli; Caryophanales; Bacillaceae
Description: bacterial SSU rRNA
Rfam family: Bacterial small subunit ribosomal RNA
Source: RNAcentral
UGCAAGUCGAGCGGACAGAUGGGAGCUUGCUCCCUGAUGUUAGCGGCGGACGGGUGAGUAACACGUGGGUAACCUGCCUGUAAGACUGGGAUAACUCCGGGAAACCGGGGCUAAUACCGGAUGGUUGUUUGAACCGCAUGGUUCAAACAUAAAAGGUGGCUUCGGCUACCACUUACAGAUGGACCCGCGGCGCAUUAGCUAGUUGGUGAGGUAACGGCUCACCAAGGCAACGAUGCGUAGCCGACCUGAGAGGGUGAUCGGCCACACUGGGACUGAGACACGGCCCAGACUCCUACGGGAGGCAGCAGUAGGGAAUCUUCCGCAAUGGACGAAAGUCUGACGGAGCAACGCCGCGUGAGUGAUGAAGGUUUUCGGAUCGUAAAGCUCUGUUGUUAGGGAAGAACAAGUACCGUUCGAAUAGGGCGGUACCUUGACGGUACCUAACCAGAAAGCCACGGCUAACUACGUGCCAGCAGCCGCGGUAAUACGUAGGUGGCAAGCGUUGUCCGGAAUUAUUGGGCGUAAAGGGCUCGCAGGCGGUUUCUUAAGUCUGAUGUGAAAGCCCCCGGCUCAACCGGGGAGGGUCAUUGGAAACUGGGGAACUUGAGUGCAGAAGAGGAGAGUGGAAUUCCACGUGUAGCGGUGAAAUGCGUAGAGAUGUGGAGGAACACCAGUGGCGAAGGCGACUCUCUGGUCUGUAACUGACGCUGAGGAGCGAAAGCGUGGGGAGCGAACAGGAUUAGAUACCCUGGUAGUCCACGCCGUAAACGAUGAGUGCUAAGUGUUAGGGGGUUUCCGCCCCUUAGUGCUGCAGCUAACGCAUUAAGCCCUCCGCCUGGGGAGUACGGUCGCAAGACUGAAACUCAAAGGAAUUGAC